UAAGCAUCAAGAGCAAACCCCAAAGCGUGUC
RNAcentral lists this non-coding RNA (31 nucleotides) under Mus musculus (house mouse). The record is from RNAcentral. Lineage: Eukaryota; Metazoa; Chordata; Mammalia; Rodentia; Muridae.